This 811-nucleotide long non-coding RNA is filed under the name Mytilus galloprovincialis (Mediterranean mussel). The record is from RNAcentral. Lineage: Eukaryota; Metazoa; Mollusca; Bivalvia; Mytilida; Mytilidae.
UUCUGUAAGAUCAAUAUAUAAUUGAGAUAGCUGUAGAGUUUUUUGAAAAUCCAAGUUAAUUUAAAAAAGUUAUAAAAAAUUUAAAGAUAACUAUCUGAUUUUAGCCUAAAAUGAAAAUUUGAGCUUUUUUUUCUUACCUAUUAAAUAAAUCCAUAAAUUUUACAGCAAUACACCUAACCACCAAACAACCUGGCUUUCUAUAAGAUCAAUAUAUAAAUGAGAUAGCUGUAGAGAUUUAUAAAAAUCCUAGUUGAUUUGAAAAAGUUGUAAAAAAAAUCAAAGUUGACUAUCUGAAUUUAGCCUUAACUGAAAAUUUGAGUUUUUUUUUUCUACCAAUUAUUUAAAUCAAUAAAUAUAACAGCAAUACACCAAACUAUUAAACAACUUGGUAUUCUUUAAGGUAAAAAAAAAAUAAUAGAUAGUCUGAACAGAAAAUUCUAGCUUUGUUAUUCCUUAAUUAAAUCCUUAAAUUAACAGAAAUGAACCAAGCUACCAGUUUGUUGAGACAUGUUUUGAGUGCCAGCAAAACAAAUUUCCUACACACCAAUAAAAUUGAUGGUAAUUUUUUUCCUAUAAAAUAUGUUCUGGCCCAUCCACUCAAUAUUUUUUAAAAAGUUCUCGCCCAUCCAAAUAUUUACACAAAAAAGUGCUUACCUCGCCCUAUUUUGCACUGGCCCAUCCAUCUGAUAAAUAUUGAACGGUCCCACACUUGCUGCCCUAACCCUAAGCUUACCACUAACCCCUGGAAACUUGUCGACCUAUGUAGGUUGACAUUUAUUUGUAAAAGUUAAUUUGUCGACCUGUCAACCAA